RNAcentral lists this ribosomal RNA (506 nucleotides) under uncultured bacterium. RNAcentral describes it as "bacterial SSU rRNA". It matches the Rfam family "Bacterial small subunit ribosomal RNA", at positions 10 to 507 of the family's 1533-position model. The record is from RNAcentral.
AGUUUGAUCAUGGCUCAGGAUGAACGCUAGCGGCAGGCUUAAUACAUGCAAGUCGUGGGGCAGCAGGUUUGUAGCAAUACAGAUGCUGGCGACCGGCAAACGGGUGCGGAACACGUACAGAACCUUCCUUUGAGCGGGGAAUAGCCCAGAGAAAUUUGGAUUAAUACCCCAUAGUAUAAUGAAGUGGCAUCACUUUAUUAUUAAAGAUUUAUCACUCGAAGAUGGCUGUGCGGCUGAUUAGGUAGUUGGCGGGGUAAAGGCCCACCAAGCCUGCGAUCAGUAACUGGUGUGAGAGCACGACCAGUCACACGGGUACUGAGACACGGGCCCGACUCCUACGGGAGGCAGCAGUAAGGAAUAUUGGUCAAUGGAGGCAACUCUGAACCAGCCAUGCCGCGUGGAGGAUGAAGGUCCUCUGGAUUGUAAACUUCUUUUAUAUGGGACGAAAAAAGGCUUUUCUAAGUCGUCUGACGGUACCAUAUGAAUAAGCACCGGCUAACUCCGUG